AGUAACGGCGAGUGAAGCGGCAACAGCUCAAAUUUGAAAUCUGGCUCUCGGGCCCGAGUUGUAAUUUGUAGAGGAUACUUUUGAUGCGGUGCCUUCCGAGUUCCCUGGAACGGGACGCCAUAGAGGGUGAGAGCCCCGUCUGGUUGGAUGCCAAAUCUCUGUAAAGUUCCUUCAACGAG
This 179-nucleotide ribosomal RNA is filed under the name Fusarium verticillioides. RNAcentral describes it as "partial large subunit ribosomal RNA". It matches the Rfam family "Eukaryotic large subunit ribosomal RNA", at positions 82 to 264 of the family's 3401-position model. Lineage: Eukaryota; Fungi; Ascomycota; Sordariomycetes; Hypocreales; Nectriaceae. The record is from RNAcentral.